This 433-nucleotide ribosomal RNA is filed under the name uncultured bacterium. RNAcentral describes it as "partial 16S ribosomal RNA". It matches the Rfam family "Bacterial small subunit ribosomal RNA", at positions 29 to 507 of the family's 1533-position model. The record is from RNAcentral.
AACGAACGCUGGCGGCAGGCCUAACACAUGCAAGUCGAGCGCGCCCUUCGGGGUGAGCGGCGGGCGGGUGAGUAACGCGUGGGAACGUGCCCUUCUCUGCGGAAUAGCCUCGGGAAACUGAGAGUAAUACCGCAUACGCCCUUUGGGGGAAAGAUUUAUCGGAGAAGGAUCGGCCCGCGUUGGAUUAGGUAGUUGGUGGGGUAAUGGCCCACCAAGCCGACGAUCCAUAUCUGGUUUGAGAGGAUGAUCAGCCACACUGGGACUGAGACACGGCCCAGCCUCCUACGGGAGGCAGCAGUGGGGAAUCUUAGACAAUGGGGGCAACCCUGAUCUAGCCAUGCCGCGUGAGUGAUGAAGGCCUUAGGGUUGUAAAGCUCUUUCAGCUGGGAAGAUAAUGACGGUACCAGCAGAAGAAGCCCCGGCUAACUCCGUG